This 1383-nucleotide long non-coding RNA is filed under the name Ursus maritimus (polar bear). RNAcentral describes it as "lncRNA (ENSUMAG00000017830.1)". Lineage: Eukaryota; Metazoa; Chordata; Mammalia; Carnivora; Ursidae. The record is from RNAcentral.
GUUAACUUAAAUGUUUUCAUCAAGGCAAUGCAGGGAGCAGUAAGACAGGAAGUCUUAUCAGUAUUUCAAGGUAGGUGGCGGAGAAAUUAAAAACAUAAAAUAUAUAAGAUAUCACCUAUAACACAUAUACAAGAGGCCCAAGUUUGUGAUGGUCAGAAAAGAUUAGUUUUUUUUUUUUUUUUUUUUUUUUCCUUUCUAAAGAAAUUCUUGGGAAAUCAGUGGAGUACUGUGAGUUUAUUCUCUGUCCAAACUCUUUGCCCCUCAUUGCAACACGUAAGCUUCAACAGAGCCACUCGGAGAACUUGAGAUGGAUUCCAGGCAUUAGCGGGUACGCCGUGAGCAUAAGCCUAACAAAUGCUAAGGACUCUAAAGGCAAGAAUUUGUAGCUUUCAGCUGGAAACAGUAGGACAGGAAGAGAAAUCGCAGGCCGUAUUGAAGUUAACUACAAUUCUACUACAAUUCCAUGAGUCAUGCUCAUGAUCUAGAAGUGGACCAUAAAGACACAGCUGCCUGACACUCCCUAAGAAGACCACCUGUAAGGAUGAUAGGACCGACAGGAGAGCUGAUAUAAAUGGACCAUCAGAAAUCAGACGCUGAUGGGAGUUCUGAUGGCCAGAGAAGGAUACGUUGCCCAGAUAAUGGAAAAUACAGCUGAAUAUUCCAGAGAAAAUGUUGAAAAACUCUGGAAGGCACCCAUGAUAGAAGGAGAUGGGUUUGAAUACCUGCCAAGACUGCAGAACAUGAAGCCAGAUCCACAUUGCCAGGUUUUUGCCGCUGGAGGAAGACACAGUCCUUUAAUGAAUCUUGGAUUUUCUUCAUCCAGUUUCCCAUCAGCGACAUCGACUCCAGAAUCCCAGCUUGUAAUACGUCUGUCUACUCAGUGGCAGGGGAUGCUCUCCACAUCCACGGCUCAAUUUUGCAAGGCAUCCUGUGACCUACCAUCAACUUUUGCUUCUCAUAGUCAACUUAGUAAAUCUUACGCUUCCAGAAUCAUCUGGGGGAGAGAGCCAGAGAAAGAUAGCAGCUCUGUGCAGGGGAUAUUUACAUUUAACAGCCCUGGCCUUGGUGGGAAUUGCCAUCACUUUCAGCUGAGCUGUAACUAGCAAGCCACCUACAUGGUGAGCUCAGAGUGCUUUGGAACUUUCCAACCCACGGCUUCCCACUUCAGCAGUGGUGGGAGGCUGAGCUAUUUAGGUGGAUGAAAGGGAAGUGAUAAAGACAGAAAGGAGAACUUAGAAUGAAUUGUGUAAAUAACCCUGUAUUCCCCUCCCAUCUCCCCUUCUUUUUCUUCCUUCUGUCCAAAUUUCCUUCCUUCCCUCCUAUGUUUUAAAUCAAAAGACUGUAUUUUCCAAGUUCAGUAAAAUAAAACAGGUAUAAACAUAU